This 377-nucleotide ribosomal RNA is filed under the name uncultured bacterium. RNAcentral describes it as "bacterial SSU rRNA". It matches the Rfam family "Bacterial small subunit ribosomal RNA", at positions 521 to 896 of the family's 1533-position model. The record is from RNAcentral.
UAAGACAGAGGUCCCGAGCGUUAGGCGGAAUCACUGGGCUUAAAGCGUGUGUAGGCGGACUUCUAAGUACCUUGUGAAAUCCCACGGCUUAACCGUGGAACUGCUUGGUAUACUGGUUGUCUUGGGCCACCUAGGGGCUACUGGAACAAACGGUGGAGCGGUGAAAUGCGUAGAUAUCGUUUGGAACGCCAAUGGUGAAAACAAGUAGCUGGGGGUGUGCCGACGCUGAGACACGAAAGCCAGGGGAGCGAACGGGAUUAGAUACCCCGGUAGUCCUGGCUGUAAACGAUGUCGACUAGAUCGUGGUGGCUCUGACGCCGUCACGGUCGAAGCAAAAGUGCUAAGUCGACCGCCUGGGAAGUACGGUCGCAAGGCUA